UGGGGAAUAUUGGACAAUGGGCGAAAGCCUGAUCCAGCCAUGCCGCGUGUGUGAAGAAGGUCUUCGGAUUGUAAAGCACUUUAAGUUGGGAGGAAGGGCAGUAAGCGAAUACCUUGCUGUUUUGACGUUACCGACAGAAUAAGCACCGGCUAACUCUGUGCCAGCAGCCGCGGUAAGACAGAGGGUGCAAGCGUUAAUCGGAAUUACUGGGCGUAAAGCGCGCGUAGGUGGUUCGUUAAGUUGAAUGUGAAAGCCCCGGGCUCAACCUGGGAACUGCAUCCAAAACUGGCGAGCUAGAGUAGGGCAGAGGGUGGUGGAAUUUCCUGUGUAGCGGUGAAAUGCGUAGAGAUAGGAAGGAACACCAGUGGCGAAGGCGACCACCUGGGCUCAUACUGACACUGAGGUGCGAAAGCGUGGGGAGCAAACAGG
RNAcentral lists this ribosomal RNA (429 nucleotides) under Pseudomonadota bacterium. RNAcentral describes it as "Proteobacteria bacterium partial 16S ribosomal RNA". It matches the Rfam family "Bacterial small subunit ribosomal RNA", at positions 355 to 776 of the family's 1533-position model. Lineage: Bacteria; Pseudomonadati; Pseudomonadota. The record is from RNAcentral.